This 460-nucleotide ribosomal RNA is filed under the name uncultured bacterium. RNAcentral describes it as "partial 16S ribosomal RNA". It matches the Rfam family "Bacterial small subunit ribosomal RNA", at positions 338 to 795 of the family's 1533-position model. The record is from RNAcentral.
CCUACGGGAGGCAGCAGUGAGGAAUAUUGGUCAAUGGGCGCGAGCCUGAACCAGCCAAGUAGCGUGAAGGAUGACUGCCCUACGGGUCGUAAACUUCUUUUAUAAAGGAAUAAAGUGUGGCACGCGUCCCUUUUUGCAUGUACCUUAUGAAUAAGGAUCGGCUAACUCCGUGCCAGCAGCCGCGGUAAUACGGAGGAUCCGAGCGUUAUCCGGAUUUAUUGGGUUUAAAGGGAGCGUAGGUGGGUUGUUAAGUCAGUUGUGAAAGUGUGGGGCUCAACCGUAAAAUUGCAGUUGAUACUGGCAGUCUUGAGUACAGUAGAGGUAGGCGGAAUUCGUGGUGUAGCGGUGAAAUGCUUAGAUAUCGCGAAGAACUCCGAUUGCGAAGGCAGCUUGCUGGACUGACACUGACGUUGAGGCACGAAAGUGUGGGUAUCGAACAGGAUUAGAUACCCGGGUAGUC